GACGAACGCUGGCGGCGUGCUUAACACAUGCAAGUCGAACGGAAAGGCCCUGCUUGCAGGGUACUCGAGUGGCGAACGGGUGAGUAACACGUGGGUGAUCUGCCCUGCACUUCGGGAUAAGCUUGGGAAACUGGGUCUAAUACCGGAUAGGAGCCAUCUUUAGUGUGGUGGUUGGAAAGUUUUUUCGGUGUAGGAUGAGCUCGCGGCCUAUCAGCUUGUUGGUGGGGUAAUGGCCUACCAAGGCGGCGACGGGUAGCCGGCCUGAGAGGGUGUACGGCCACAUUGGGACUGAGAUACGGCCCAGACUCCUACGGGAGGCAGCAGUGGGGAAUAUUGCACAAUGGGCGCAAGCCUGAUGCAGCGACGCCGCGUGGGGGAUGAAGGCCCUCGGGUUGUAAACUCCUUUCGCUAGGGACGAAGCUUUUUUGUGACGGUACCUAGAUAAGAAGCACCGGCUAACUACGUG
This 466-nucleotide ribosomal RNA is filed under the name uncultured bacterium. RNAcentral's name for it is "partial 16S ribosomal RNA". It matches the Rfam family "Bacterial small subunit ribosomal RNA", at positions 28 to 507 of the family's 1533-position model. The record is from RNAcentral.